Molecule: microRNA, 22 nt
Filed under: Apis mellifera (honey bee)
Lineage: Eukaryota; Metazoa; Arthropoda; Insecta; Hymenoptera; Apidae
Description: ame-miR-3779-5p
Source: miRBase by way of RNAcentral
GCCGGGCCUGCCGCUCGACACG